UAGCCGUAAACGAUACUCGCUAGGUGUCGGCCACGGUGCGACCGUUGUCGGUGCCGUAGGGAAGCCGUGAAGCGAGCCACCUGGGAGGUACGGCCGCAAGGCUGAAACUUAAAGGAAUUGGCGGGGGAGCACCACAACGGGUGGAGCUUGCGGUUUAAUUGGAUUCAACGCCGGAAAUCUUACCGGGACCGACAGCAACAUGAAGGCCAAGCUGAAGACUUUGCCGGAUUAGCUGAGAGGUGGUGCAUGGCGUAGUCGUGU
This 261-nucleotide ribosomal RNA is filed under the name uncultured archaeon. Its description in RNAcentral is "partial 16S ribosomal RNA". It matches the Rfam family "Archaeal small subunit ribosomal RNA", at positions 748 to 1009 of the family's 1478-position model. The record is from RNAcentral.